RNAcentral lists this transfer RNA (72 nucleotides) under Marmota marmota marmota (Alpine marmot). It matches the Rfam family "tRNA". From Rfam's summary of the family: Transfer RNA (tRNA) molecules are approximately 80 nucleotides in length. Their secondary structure includes four short double-helical elements and three loops (D, anti-codon, and T loops). Further hydrogen bonds mediate the characteristic L-shaped molecular structure. tRNAs have two regions of fundamental functional importance: the anti-codon, which is responsible for specific mRNA codon recognition, and the 3' end, to which the tRNAs corresponding amino acid is attached (by aminoacyl-tRNA synthetases). tRNAs cope with the degeneracy of the genetic code in two manners: having more than one tRNA (with a specific anti-codon) for a particular amino acid; and 'wobble' base-pairing, i.e. permitting non-standard base-pairing at the 3rd anti-codon position. The record is from Rfam by way of RNAcentral. Lineage: Eukaryota; Metazoa; Chordata; Mammalia; Rodentia; Sciuridae. RNAcentral also lists the same sequence under 1 other name.
GGGGAUAUAGCUCAAUUGGUAGAGUGCUUGCCUUGCAUGCACGAGGUCCUGGAUUCAAACCCCAGAACCACA